RNAcentral lists this unclassified non-coding RNA (27 nucleotides) under Mus musculus (house mouse). RNAcentral describes it as "oocyte_clustered_small_RNA5032". Lineage: Eukaryota; Metazoa; Chordata; Mammalia; Rodentia; Muridae. The record is from RNAcentral.
UAAGUCAUUCAACUGUUUCAUGAGCCC